This 332-nucleotide ribosomal RNA is filed under the name uncultured bacterium. RNAcentral's name for it is "bacterial SSU rRNA". It matches the Rfam family "Bacterial small subunit ribosomal RNA", at positions 568 to 898 of the family's 1533-position model. The record is from RNAcentral.
CGUGUAGGCGGCCUGAUAAGUCAGACGUGAAAGCCCGCGGCUUAACCGCGGGACUGCGUUUGAAACUGACAGGCUUGAGGAUCGGAGAGGGCAGUGGAAUUCCCAGUGUAGCGGUGAAAUGCGUAGAUAUUGGGAGGAACACCAGUGGCGAAGGCGACUGCCUGGACGACACCUGACGCUGAGGCGCGAAAGCUAGGGGAGCAAACGGGAUUAGAUACCCCGGUAGUCCUAGCCGUAAACGAUGGGUACUAGGUGUGGGGGGUAUCGACCCCUUCCGUGCCGCAGUUAACACAAUAAGUACCCCGCCUGGGGAGUACGGCCGCAAGGUUGAA